RNAcentral lists this long non-coding RNA (201 nucleotides) under Capsella rubella. RNAcentral describes it as "long non-coding RNA (CRUB_LNC002149)". The record is from RNAcentral. Lineage: Eukaryota; Viridiplantae; Streptophyta; Magnoliopsida; Brassicales; Brassicaceae.
UUUUUGGUUAAUUUUUCUAUUUUGAUUUUGUCGUCUCUACUAUAGUUUGUUUAUUCUUUUUUACUUUAGGGUGUGAAGAUCCACCUUUAGUGAGGAGAAUGAUAAUGUGAAGGAUGGGGUGAAUACAUAGAAGAAGGUUGACUCAAUGAAAAAGAAUAGCAUUAAUUAAGUUUAUGAUCGACAAGGAGUGAUAUGUUGAUG